Long non-coding RNA from Xenopus tropicalis (tropical clawed frog), 170 nucleotides. RefSeq lists it as uncharacterized. Lineage: Eukaryota; Metazoa; Chordata; Amphibia; Anura; Pipidae. The transcript is spliced from 3 exons. The record is from RefSeq and is a predicted model, not a curated record.
UUUCAACAUGAAGAUGGUUCAUACAAAAUCCAUCAUUCUACUAGCCUGUAUCAUGGGAUCUGCUUGGACUUACCCAGCACAGAUCAUUUUCCCAUAUCAAGAAAUGCUUGCAGAAAAGGAUGCACUUGCUACCGAAGGAACUGUUAGGGGAAUGGAGAUGCCAGUCCUAG